This 273-nucleotide ribosomal RNA is filed under the name uncultured bacterium. Its description in RNAcentral is "partial 16S ribosomal RNA". It matches the Rfam family "Bacterial small subunit ribosomal RNA", at positions 524 to 796 of the family's 1533-position model. The record is from RNAcentral.
AACGUAGGUUCCGAGCGUUAUCCGGAUUUACUGGGCGUAAAGCGUGUUCAGGCGGCUUAGCAAGUCGGGCAUGAAAUCUCUCGGCUCAACCGGGAGGGGCUGUCCGAUACUGCUGGGCUUGAGGGCAGUAGAGGGUGGUGGAAUUCCGGGUGUAGUGGUGAAAUGCGUAGAUAUCCGGAGGAACACCAGUGGCGAAAGCGGCCACCUGGACUGUACCUGACGCUCAAACACGAAAGCUAGGGGAGCGAACGGGAUUAGAAACCCCCGUAGUCC